This 790-nucleotide ribosomal RNA is filed under the name Pseudarthrobacter equi. RNAcentral describes it as "bacterial SSU rRNA". It matches the Rfam family "Bacterial small subunit ribosomal RNA", at positions 544 to 1329 of the family's 1533-position model. The record is from RNAcentral. Lineage: Bacteria; Bacillati; Actinomycetota; Actinomycetes; Micrococcales; Micrococcaceae.
CCGGGAAUUAUUGGGCCGUAAAGAGCUCGUAGGCGGGUUUGUCGCGUCUGCCGUGAAAAGUCCGGGGCUCAACUCCGGAUCUGCGGUGGGUACGGGCAGACUAGAGUGAUGUAGGGGAGACUGGAAUUCCUGGUGUAGCGGUGAAAUGCGCAGAUAUCAGGAGGAACACCGAUGGCGAAGGCAGGUCUCUGGGCAUUAACUGACGCUGAGGAGCGAAAGCAUGGGGAGCGAACAGGAUUAGAUACCCUGGUAGUCCAUGCCGUAAACGUUGGGCACUAGGUGUGGGGGACAUUCCACGUUUUCCGCGCCGUAGCUAACGCAUUAAGUGCCCCGCCUGGGGAGUACGGCCGCAAGGCUAAAACUCAAAGGAAUUGACGGGGGCCCGCACAAGCGGCGGAGCAUGCGGAUUAAUUCGAUGCAACGCGAAGAACCUUACCAAGGCUUGACAUGAACCGGAAACGUCUGGAAACAGGCGCCCCACUUGUGGUCGGUUUACAGGUGGUGCAUGGUUGUCGUCAGCUCGUGUCGUGAGAUGUUGGGUUAAGUCCCGCAACGAGCGCAACCCUCGUUCCAUGUUGCCAGCGCGUAAUGGCGGGGACUCAUGGGAGACUGCCGGGGUCAACUCGGAGGAAGGUGGGGACGACGUCAAAUCAUCAUGCCCCUUAUGUCUUGGGCUUCACGCAUGCUACAAUGGCCGGUACAAAGGGUUGCGAUACUGUGAGGUGGAGCUAAUCCCAAAAAGCCGGUCUCAGUUCGGAUUGGGGUAUGCAACUCGACCCCAUGAAUUCGG